Molecule: ribosomal RNA, 778 nt
Filed under: uncultured Neocallimastigales
Lineage: Eukaryota; Fungi; Neocallimastigomycota; Neocallimastigomycetes; Neocallimastigales
Description: partial large subunit ribosomal RNA
Rfam family: Eukaryotic large subunit ribosomal RNA
Source: RNAcentral
AGACUCUGUGCGCGUGCAUAUCAAUAAGCGGAGGAAAAGAAACUAACAAGGAUUCCCUUAGUAACGGCGAGUGAAGCGGGAAGAGCUCAAAUUUGAAAUCUUCAAGGUUCUACCUUGACGAAUUGUAGUUUAUAGAAGUGUUUUCUGUUAGUGGAGUUUGGUAAAAGUUCUUUGGAAUAGGACAUCAUAGAGGGUGAGAAUCCCGUAUUUGAUCAUUCUUCCCUAGCUGUGUGAUACACUUUCAACGAGUCGGAUUGUUUGGGAAUGCAGUCCAAAAUGGGUGGUAAAUUUCAUCUAAAGCUAAAUAUUGGCGAGAGACCGAUAGCGAACAAGUACCGUGAGGGAAAGAUGAAAAGAACUUUGAAAAGAGAGUUAAACAGUACGUGAAAUUGUCAAAAGGGAAGCGUUUGACACCAGUGUUGUUUUUCCGAAAAUCAAUUACGAAUGUUUUGUUUUUGAGGAGUUAUGACUUCAUCGGCUUGCUUCCUUUUCUUAUGAAACUUUCUUAAUGCACUUUUCGGUUAACAAGUCAACAUCAAUUUCUUUUGUUGUAAAAGGGUAUGAGGAAGGUGGCUUUCUUUUCGGAGAAAGUGUUUAUAGCCUUGUGCCUCUGCAAUCGGAGAGAUUGAGGUCUGCAGCGUAGAUCCUUCGGGGUUAGAUACAUUUGUGCUAAGUUAUAGCUUCUUCAUAGACAACUUGUUGACUAUGUUUAGUCUUGUAGCUUACUCGCUUAUGCUAUUUUACCUACGCUUAGGAUGUUGACAGCAGUAUAGACUGU